CAGGGGAUUGCAGUGGCAAAGCUAGGCUAGGUCUUGGAGGCUGGUGUAAGGCGAUGCGGGUGAAGGCAGGAGGCUGAUGGAGAGACUGGGGGGAAGAAAAGCCGAAAUGGAUUCACGGUGCCUUGGAUGAAGGACGAGAGGGGAACUGCAAGCUCCUUCAACUGGUUCUGUCCGGUGAGAAGUGAUCAAGCUUGGGCUGACAAGAGGCUCAGGGAGCCCUCACGUUCUUUCGCUUUUUUACCUGCCAAUCAAACUGCUACAAGACAACACCCUGAUCUGGCAUGGACAUUCAUUACAGUCACCUGGAGUCACGGAAAUGACCAUGAUUGCCUGAACUUUCAUGACUUCUGUGGAUAACUGUGGUUGCAGAAAAGAGAAAACCUGGACCGUGAGGGACAUUUCACUCCCUGGGCUUUGGCCUCCCUACAGCGUUGGCUCAGCUCUAGCUACUUGGAAGGUCGUGGCAAUGCUGUCUCAGAAUGUCCAUUUCUAGAGUACAGAGAAGAAAUUCUAGCUUGACGUCCACGUGCAUUUGUCUGUGUUUCAGAGGAAAUUCCAAUUCUAAACUCUUGGAAGAAACAAUUUCUCGGCAUGCUGAAGAGAAUUGCUGUUUUUUGGCACCCGAAACACUUUUACCCGAGGGUUCUGAUUAUUUAAAUAAUUGGUAUGCUAUAACUAUUCUGGUUGACAGAAAUGUGGUUUAAUGUAGAUGAGUUGUAAAAACAUGAGACAAACAUGCUCCAGGCUA
This 748-nucleotide small RNA is filed under the name Pan troglodytes (chimpanzee). RNAcentral describes it as "sense overlapping". The stretch from base 14 to 289 matches the Rfam family "SOX2 overlapping transcript exon 3". The record is from RNAcentral. Lineage: Eukaryota; Metazoa; Chordata; Mammalia; Primates; Hominidae.